AAAGAUAAAACUAUAUUUUAAAUAAAUAUAUACUAUCAUUUUUAAUAAAAAAAAUUAAAAAUUUAAGAAAUUAUUAUUUAGAAAUUUUAUUAAAUAUAGGUUAAUCUUGUGCCAGCAUCAGCGGUUAUACAAUGAUAUAUAAAUUAAUUAUAUUAAUUUAUUAUUAUAAUAAUAAUUUAUUAAUAUUAAUAGUUAUAGUUUUUAGAUUAAAUAAAAACUAUUUAUAUUAUUAUUAAAUUAAAUUAAUUUAAGUUAAUUAAAUAUUAUAAUAAACUAGGAUUAGAUACCCUAUUAUUAAUAUUCAAUUUUAUAGUAAUUAAUUAUUAAAUUUAAUAAAUUAAAAUUUAAAAAUUUUGACGGUAUUAUAACCUAAUUAGAGGAACUUGUAUCAUAAUUGAUAUUCCACGAUAGGAUAAAUUUAAUGUAUUUAAUAUUUUUGUAUGUUCGUUAUAAAAAAAUUUAUUAAUAAUUUAAAUUUUUAAAUUUUAUUAAAAUAAAUUAUUUCAGAUCAAUAUGAAAUUAUAUAUUAUAAGUUUUAUGAGUUACAAUUUAAUAACUAAUAGAUAUGAUUAAUUUUUAAAUAAUUUAAUUAAAAUGGAUUUAAUAGUAAUAAAUAAAAAUAAUUAUUUAUGAAUUUAGUUUUAUAAUAUGUACAUAUUGCCCGUCACUUCUAGAAAUAGGAUAAGUCGUAACAAAGUAAGUAUACUGGAAAGUGUACUUAG
This 722-nucleotide non-coding RNA is filed under the name Nasonia vitripennis (jewel wasp). Lineage: Eukaryota; Metazoa; Arthropoda; Insecta; Hymenoptera; Pteromalidae. The record is from RNAcentral.